GAUGAACGCUGGCGGCAGGCCUAAUACAUGCAAGUCAAGGGGCCCCGCCUUUGGGCGGGGCACCGGCGGACGGGUGAGCAGCGCGUACACAACGUGCCCCUGACCGGGGGACAGCGGCGGGAAACUGCCGGUAACACCCCAUGGCGCCGCGGGGCGGCAUUGCCCGGCGGCGAAAGUUUCGGCGGUCGGGGAUCGGUGUGCGUCCGAUUAGGUAGUUGGCGGGGUGACGGCCCACCAAGCCUGCGAUCGGAGGGGGUGUGAGAGCACGGCCCCCC
Molecule: ribosomal RNA, 275 nt
Filed under: uncultured bacterium
Lineage: Bacteria
Description: partial 16S ribosomal RNA
Rfam family: Bacterial small subunit ribosomal RNA
Source: RNAcentral